GACGAACGCUGGCGGCGUGCUUAACACAUGCAAGUCGAACGGUAAGGCCCUUCGGGGUACACGAGUGGCGAACGGGUGAGUAACACGUGGGUGAUCUGCCCUGCACUUCGGGAUAAGCCUGGGAAACUGGGUCUAAUACCGGAUAGGACCACUGCCUGCAUGGGUGGUGGUGGAAAGCUUUUGCGGUGGGGGAGGGGCCCGCGGCCUAUCAGCCGGGUGGGGGGGUGAUGGCCUACCAAGGCGACGACGGGUGGCCGGCCUGAGAGGGUGACCGGCCACACUGGGACUGAGAUACGGCCCAGACUCCUACGGGAGGCAGCAGUGGGGAAUAUUGCACAAUGGGCGCAAGACUGAUGCAGCGACGCCGCGUGAGGGAUGAAGGCCUUCGGGUUGUAAACCUCUUUCAGCACCGACGAAGCGCAAGUGACGGUAGGUGCAGAAGAAGGACCGGCCAACUACGUGCCAGCCGCCGCCGUAA
Molecule: ribosomal RNA, 478 nt
Filed under: uncultured bacterium
Lineage: Bacteria
Description: partial 16S ribosomal RNA
Rfam family: Bacterial small subunit ribosomal RNA
Source: RNAcentral